GUGAAGAUGACGGACUUCAAACCCGUGGAGCUCUU
Molecule: transfer RNA, 35 nt
Filed under: Pseudo-nitzschia fraudulenta
Lineage: Eukaryota; Bacillariophyta; Bacillariophyceae; Bacillariales; Bacillariaceae
Description: partial Selenocysteine transfer RNA
Source: RNAcentral